CCCCGCUCACAUCGCUGGUGAGACCUAGCCGCCGCUCCCCAACUCCACACUCGCGCCCUCCUCCUCCUCCUCCUCUACACCGCCUUCACCCAAACCCUAAAGCCGCCGCCAUCUCCUUCACCCUGCCCACCGGACCCCCACCGCCCACUUCCCCAGCGUCGUCGCCGUCGUCCACCACCACCCUCACCGCGCCCCCACCUUCUCCCAAUCCCCUCACCUUCUCUCCCGUGGCCGGUGGAUUCGCCCCUCGCGGGAUCGAUUCCUACCGCGCCGCCGGUGCGGCCUCCUCGCGAGCCAGAGCUAGGGUUUCGGGGCGAGCAGCAGCCACCCUCCAUGGAGGAGGACAACCACCACAGCGACGUCGGCGCCCCUCACAUGGUCGAGCUCGACGGAAGAGCGGUCGCCAUGGCCGCGUUCGUCUGCUCCGGUGUGGCGCAGCCGAGCUUGGCCAACGACGAGGUCGUGUACCUCCGCCUCGAUGACUCCUAGCGCGGGGGAUGUAUUUCUAAUGUCUAGGUGAACCGGUUUACAAUGCAGAGACUGCGACAAGAAAAUAACGAAGACCAACGUGUGUAUGUGUGCCAAUUACCAUGGAUAAUGCUCGAUUCUUCUGUUUCCAAAUGGCCCUUCACACUACAGGAAAGUGACAAUCAGUAAAAGUUAAGGUCAGACUUUGGAGAAGGUGAGCCGUGUUAGUUCAAAAUUGAUUUGGAAUUGAGCACUCAGAAAUUUUGAAGGUCAACAUCAGAAAUAGCCGUGAUGCUUUUGGCCUCCUUUGUUGUUCUCAUGUCUGACACUUCUUCACCAGGAGGCGCAACCUGCUACUCGAGCCACUGAUGCAGGUUCAUCUCUAAUAGAUGCACCGUCUUUGUUCUGUUGCAAUAUUCAUUUGGAUCUCUCAAUUGUGAAGUACCAUCUUCUGCACUUUACUCUACUGGCACAAUGUUACUAAUUUGCGUUCAAUCUCAGUAUGCCAUUUAUGAAUUUUGUAUAGCUUGCAUAGUGCCUAGGUUCAUCAGCUAAUUCUGUUAUUUUGCAGAUAUUCCAUAUUAUCAUUAGCAAGAUAAAGUCGCUCAAGUAUUGGCCACUACUAUUUGCAUUAGAUUCGCCUCAGAAUAUACCCUUUUCACUUGGAAGGAGGAAGUAGGAGUACUCAGUAAUGGUCAACUAUAAGCUAACAUAGAUGUUCUUUCAUUAACAAAGACAAAUGGCUUAUUAUUGUCUAUAUUUCUAGAGCUUUGUUCCCAAUUGUCGUAUCUCAUUAUGUUUAUGAACUACUUGGCCAUAUUUCUUUACACUUUGUACUGAACUUGAUGCAAUAGAGUUCAAAUCAGUUGUUCUGAGCAAGCACCAUCCCUUGCUUUUGGUACACUUUUUGCCUUUAUGCUUUGUAGUAAAGUUGUAGGUCAGUUAUCUUGGGAACAACUAUACCUUGCUUUUGGUAUAUCCUUAAUCUAUAUGCUCUAUGCUGAACUCAGUUAUCCUUGGCAGCAGCUAUAUAUCGUAUUUUUGGUGUAUCUUUAGUGUUUGUGAUUUGUAUAAAA
Molecule: long non-coding RNA, 1544 nt
Organism: Triticum dicoccoides
Lineage: Eukaryota; Viridiplantae; Streptophyta; Magnoliopsida; Poales; Poaceae
Exons: 5
Source: RefSeq, a predicted model, not a curated record